GAGGUUAAGCGACUAAGCGUACACGGUGGAUGCCCUGGCAGUCAGAGGCGAUGAAGGACGUGCUAAUCUGCGAUAAGCGUCGGUAAGGUGAUAUGAACCGUUAUAACCGGCGAUUUCCGAAUGGGGAAACCCAGUGUGAUUCAUCACACUAUCAUUACGUGAAUACAUAGCGUAAUGAAGCGAACCGGGGGAACUGAAACAUCUAAGUACCCCGAGGAAAAGAAAUCAACCGAGAUUCCCCCAGUAGCGGCGAGCGAACGGGGAGCAGCCCAGAGUCUGAAUCAGCAUGUGUGGUAGUGGAACGGUCUGGAAAGUCCGACGGUACAGGGUGAUAGUCCCGUACACAAAAGUGCAUGUGUUGUGAACUCGAAGAGUAGGGCGGGACACGUGGUAUCCUGUCUGAAUAUGGGGGGACCAUCCUCCAAGGCUAAAUACUCCUGACUGACCGAUAGUGAACCAGUACCGUGAGGGAAAGGCGAAAAGAACCCCGGCGAGGGGAGUGAAAAAGAACCUGAAACCGUGUACGUACAAGCAGUGGGAGCCUCUUUAUGGGGUGACUGCGUACCUUUUGUAUAAUGGGUCAGCGACUUAUAUUCUGUAGCAAGGUUAACCGAAUAGGGGAGCCGAAGGGAAACCGAGUCUUAACUGGGCGUUAAGUUGCAGGGUAUAGACCCGAAACCCGGUGAUCUAGCCAUGGGCAGGUUGAAGGUUGGGUAACACUAACUGGAGGACCGAACCGACUAAUGUUGAAAAAUUAGCGGAUGACUUGUGGCUGGGGGUGAAAGGCCAAUCAAACCGGGAGAUAGCUGGUUCUCCCCGAAAGCUAUUUAGGUAGCGCCUCGUGAAUUCAUCUUCGGGGGUAGAGCACUGUUUCGGCUAGGGGGUCAUCCCGACUUACCAACCCGAUGCAAACUGCGAAUACCGAAGAAUGUUAUCACGGGAGACACACGGCGGGUGCUAACGUCCGUCGUGAAGAGGGAAACAACCCAGACCGCCAGCUAAGGUCCCAAAGUCAUGGUUAAGUGGGAAACGAUGUGGGAAGGCACAGACAGCCAGGAUGUUGGCUUAGAAGCAGCCAUCAUUUAAAGAAAGCGUAAUAGCUCACUGGUCGAGUCGGCCUGCGCGGAAGAUGUAACGGGGCUAAACCAUGCACCGAAGCUGCGGCAGCGACACUAUGUGUUGUUGGGUAGGGGAGCGUUCUGUAAGCCGUUGAAGGUGGCCUGUGAGGGUUGCUGGAGGUAUCAGAAGUGCGAAUGCUGACAUAAGUAACGAUAAUGCGGGUGAAAAACCCGCACGCCGGAAGACCAAGGGUUCCUGUCCAACGUUAAUCGGGGCAGGGUGAGUCGACCCCUAAGGCGAGGCCGAAAGGCGUAGUCGAUGGGAAACAGGUUAAUAUUCCUGUACUUGGUGUUACUGCGAAGGGGGGACGGAGAAGGCUAUGUUAGCCGGGCGACGGUUUGUCCCGUUUAAGCAUGUAGGCGGAGAUUCCAGGUAAAUCCGGAGUCUUGCUAAACGCUGAGGUGUGAUGACGAGGCACUACGGUGCUGAAAGUAACAAAUGCCCUGCUUCCAGAAAAGCCUCUAAGCAUCAGGUAACACAAAAUCGUACCCCAAACCGACACAGGUGGUCAGGUAGAGAAUACCAAGGCGCUUGAGAGAACUCGGGUGAAGGAACUAGGCAAAAUGGUGCCGUAACUUCGGGAGAAGGGCACGCUGAUAUGUAGUGAAGUGAUUUACUCAUGGAGCUGAAAUCAGUCGAAGAUACCAGCUGGCUGCAACUGUUUAUUAAAAACACAGCACUGUGCAAACACGAAAGUGGACGUAUACGGUGUGACGCCUGCCCGGUGCCGGAAGGUUAAUUGAUGGGGUUAUCCGUAAGGAGAAGCUCUUGAUCGAAGCCCCGGUAAACGGCGGCCGUAACUAUAACGGUCCUAAGGUAGCGAAAUUCCUUGUCGGGUAAGUUCCGACCUGCACGAAUGGCGUAAUGAUGGCCAGGCUGUCUCCACCCGAGACUCAGUGAAAUUGAACUCGCUGUGAAGAUGCAGUGUACC
Molecule: ribosomal RNA, 2050 nt
Filed under: Citrobacter freundii
Lineage: Bacteria; Pseudomonadati; Pseudomonadota; Gammaproteobacteria; Enterobacterales; Enterobacteriaceae
Description: partial 23S ribosomal RNA
Rfam family: Bacterial large subunit ribosomal RNA
Source: RNAcentral